Molecule: long non-coding RNA, 877 nt
Filed under: Equus asinus (donkey)
Lineage: Eukaryota; Metazoa; Chordata; Mammalia; Perissodactyla; Equidae
Description: lncRNA (ENSEASG00005030610.1)
Source: RNAcentral
CAGCAUUAGGGAACCGGAGCCUGAGAGUGGCAAUGCUGUGGAGAAACCAGCAAGGGCAUUAACUUCCCCUGGGGAAAAUGUGUACAAUCGUAUCAACAAAUCCAUGGAGAUAUGACAAUCACCAGAGAUGCGGUGGGAAUAUUAUGUUGCAUCUGCUUCUGACUGCUUCCCAAGCCUUGAUUAUGACACAGAGGAGAAGACAACUUAGCCAUAGUGCCUGGCAAGGCACUGCGUCAGGUCCUGAAGGUACAAGAGUGAACAAGACUGAUAUAUUCCUUCUCCUCAUGAGAAGCAGAUGUGAAACAAAGAAUCCUGGAGGUCAGAAGUCCAAAAUCAAGAAGUUGGCCAGGUUGUGCUCCCCACGAAGGCUCAAGAACACCAGUCAUUGGACUUAAAGCCCCCCCCCAAAUCCAGGAUGAUCUCAUCUCACGAUCCUUAACUUAAUGACAUCUGCAAAGAUCUUAUUUCCAAAUAAGGUCACAUUCACAGACAUCAGAGCUCCUGGUUCUCGUGCCUUUGGACUCCAGACUAAUACCAGUGGCCCUCCCAGUUCUCAGUCCUUCAGCAUUGGACUGAACGAUACCACCAGCUUUCCUGGUUCUCCAGCUUGCAGAUGGCAGACUGUGGGACUUUGUGGCCUCCACAACCAGCCCCCGGUACACUGUUGUAUAUUCUUCGUUGUGGGUCCUUCUAGUUGUGGCAUGUGGGACGCUGCCUCAGCGUGGUUUGAUGAGCAGUGCCAUAUCCGCGCCCAGGAUUCGAACCAACGAAACACUGGGCCACCUGCAGCAGAGCGCUGGAACUUAACCGCUCGGCCACGGGGCCAGCCCCUCAACAAUUUUUAAUAAAUGAAUAUCUUACAUUGGCUUUAUAACCA